RNAcentral lists this ribosomal RNA (464 nucleotides) under uncultured bacterium. RNAcentral describes it as "partial 16S ribosomal RNA". It matches the Rfam family "Bacterial small subunit ribosomal RNA", at positions 339 to 795 of the family's 1533-position model. The record is from RNAcentral.
CUACGGGGCGCUGCAGCGGGGAAUAUUGCACAAUGGGCGCAAGCCUGAUGCAGCCAUGCCGCGUGUAUGAAGAAGGCCUUCGGGUUGUAAAGUACUUUCAGCGGGGAGGAAGGGAGUAAAGUUAAUACCUUUGCUCAUUGACGUUACCCGCAGAGGAAGCACCGGCUAACUCCGUGCCAGCAGCCGCGGUAAUACGGAGGGUGCAAGCGUUAAUCGGAAUUACUGGGCGUAAAGCGCACGCAGGCGGUUUGUUAAGUCAGAUGUGAAAUCCCCGGGCUCAACCUGGGAACUGCAUCUGAUACUGGCAAGCUUGAGUCUCGUAGAGGGGGGUAGAAUUCCAGGUGUAGCGGUGAAAUGCGUAGAGAUCUGGAGGAAUACCGGUGGCGAAGGCGACCCCCUGGACGAAGACUGACGCUCAGGUGCGAAAGCGUGGGGAGCAAACAGGAUUAGAUACCCGCGUAGUC